AUAUAUCUCUCCCCCUCCCAAUAUCUCAAUCUCGAAAUAAGGCCAGGCCCUUCAUAUUUACAGUCGCCCUCUUGGAGAUCUCAACACAGACUCACAGCGACUGGUGCGCGAGUCUACAUUUGCCUUCACUCUUAAGUGACGUCAGUUUCCCCUCGUGUUUUAAAGUCGGGCUGUCAUAACAAUGAAGGUCGCGCUGUUAUGACAAAUUCUAUAGAGCCUCAGUCAACACAUUCAAGGUUGGGCUGUUUAUAGGCCUACGUCAAAUUCUAUUGUGUCUAUUACGCAUAGUAGGUGCAUUUUCUUCCUCUAUUCUUCCGUCAGAAAGUACAUUUCUUUUCUAUUUUUUUACCUCAUGUGAACUGCAACGAUUCAUUGGACAAAAAGGAAAAUGACAACAAUUUUAGGAGAUUAGGUAAACAUUCUUGAUUGUACAACCUGACGUAAGCGCUGCAACGAGCCAAUUAGCAUAUCAUACAAAAAAUGAAAAGAAAUUCCACUUAUAAUCAGGAUGACUCAGUUCUAAAACUGGGUAUUACUUGUAAUAAUCUAAAACUGGGUAUUACAAAAUAACACGUAAUCAGUCAAUCACUGCCAAAUAUAGAAAUCUAUUUCUGUUUGCUAUUGAAGUAAAGGGGGGAAAAUUUGGCAUAAAAGGCUUGGUGUUUCGUCACAACGGUGAGUUGCACAUCGCAUCAAAGCUGUCUCUGAUACUGCAUUUUGUUGGUUAGGCCUAUAUACUGUUUGACGGAACUCUAUUUAACACUUUAAAAAGAUUGGUUUCUGCAAAGUACGUCUGUAGCCUUACAACCAGCAGUUCGAACAGGAAGAUCCGGGAGAUCCAUCUUUUGCUUUCAAAGACGAUGGCUUACCCAACGCAGACAGUUGACAUGACGAACAGCCAAGAAGCAUUAAUCUUGGCAAAUAGUAUGGUCAACGAGACUAGAAAGUGGAUUGGAGAAAAGAUUGGCAGCAUGAUGCAGCAAUGGGAGAUUGC
Patiria miniata (bat star) is the source of this 994-nucleotide long non-coding RNA. RefSeq lists it as uncharacterized. The transcript is spliced from 2 exons. Lineage: Eukaryota; Metazoa; Echinodermata; Asteroidea; Valvatida; Asterinidae. The record is from RefSeq and is a predicted model, not a curated record.